CAUUCUGGUCCACUUUGAGCAACUUCCCUUGUGGCCUAGAAGAUGGGCUUAUCCUGUCGUUGGCCAUGCUGGGGCCUUCUAGGGUCACAGUGCACAGAGGGCAUGGGGCCUUCAUCUCUGUGGCAGGUUGCACUUGUACCUGGAGAGUCGGCCUGGGCAUGAGGCCAACACACCCCCCUCACCUGGGCAGGAGAGGCAGCCAGGUAGGAGGACCCACCCCCUGAAGCAGUUCCCUCUCUGCCCCCAGCCUUCGGUGGCAAGCUGAAGAACCCACUCCAAGUUGUCCUGGUGGCCACCCAUGCUGACAUCAUGAAUGUUCCUCGACCGGCUGGAGGCGAGUUUGGAUAUGACAAAGACACAUCGUUGCUGAAAGAGAUUAGGAACAGGUUUGGAAAUGAUCUUCACAUUUCAAAUAAGCUGUUUGUUCUGGAUGCUGGGGCUUCUGGGUCAAAGGACAUGAAGGUACUUCGAAAUCAUCUGCAAGAAA
RNAcentral lists this small RNA (487 nucleotides) under Pongo abelii (Sumatran orangutan). RNAcentral's name for it is "processed transcript". Lineage: Eukaryota; Metazoa; Chordata; Mammalia; Primates; Hominidae. The record is from RNAcentral.